Osmerus eperlanus (European smelt) is the source of this 989-nucleotide long non-coding RNA. RefSeq lists it as uncharacterized. Lineage: Eukaryota; Metazoa; Chordata; Actinopteri; Osmeriformes; Osmeridae. The transcript has 6 exons. The record is from RefSeq and is a predicted model, not a curated record.
AUCUGGCCCUGCUUUGCAGUUUACGGCGCUGCCCAGUUUUGACUUGGGCUGACCCAAAGAUAAUUUGGGUCUGAUGCCUUCAACAUCCUGCACUCAUCAAGUCAUGAGGCAUAAGACCUGUUGCUAUGCUGUAUGGGAUACCUGUCACCAUCAUUAUGGGAGACCUAAAAGCUGUUGCUAUGCUGUAUGGGAAGUGGAUGAGCCUAACAAAGGAAUCUCCACUAAAAACAACAAAACCCUUAAAGCUGGACACGAUGGUACCCAAGCUCACCCAGAGAGAAAAGAGAAGGCCAAAACUACUUCAAAAGCACUGCCAGUCAUAAAAUUAAAAUUGUCGAAGGGACCCGUAAACGAUCCAAUGAACUCACUGCCAGAAAACAGCAAGAGAGUCUUAGUGCGUCCAGAAGGUCAGCUAUGCCCGGGACACAUCCCCUCUAGUGUCCCUGUCUGCAUUCAUCCAGUCACCGGGUCACACCCUGUGUCACAAGAUGUGUCACGUUCCUGUCCUUCUCCUCAUCUAAAGACCCUGGUUCGAACCAACGACCCCUUCUCAAAAAUGACAUCUCCAACCCUUGCCCCUCUGUCAUCUUGCCCUUGCCACUGUGCCAUCAGAUUGAAGCUUGACCCCCCAAACUCAAGGUUUGUAAUACUGCAGAAGGUCAGUCAGCAGAACCUGAGCCCGAAUAAAUUCCCAGAGGGUGAAAUGAGAGACAGGCCCUCAUCUCAUGUCGCAGUCACAGUCACAGACGUCUGCCCUAGGAGACUAAUCCAGCAAGGGGGGACAAUGCCCCCCACACAAGAUUGUCCUAUGUGGACUCAGCAGGGGACACAACAAAUCCCUUUGCAAGUGUAUAAUGGAGUGCCUGCCUCUGACUGCCCUCAUUGCAACAAACAAUAUGUUUAGAAGGAAAGUGACCUGACCUGCUGGUCCUAAAGAUGGUUUACCAUGAGUAACAAAUAAACACAAAUGCGGUUGCCUUGAAUUCAUC